Grus americana (Whooping crane) is the source of this 981-nucleotide long non-coding RNA. RefSeq lists it as uncharacterized. The record is from RefSeq and is a predicted model, not a curated record. Lineage: Eukaryota; Metazoa; Chordata; Aves; Gruiformes; Gruidae. The transcript is spliced from 3 exons.
CUCCGGUGCUGGGUUGUCCUGACAACUGGGUUGGGUACCGCGACGUCUGCUACUACCUCUCGACGGAGGAGGGGAGCUGGGUGUGGAGCCAGGAGCGGUGCUCCUCACACGGGGCCUCGCUGGCUGUGCUCCAGAGGGAGUGGGAAAUGGAGUUUCUCUCGCGCCUCAAAGGCAAAGAUGAUUUCUGGCUUGGGCUGCGGAGACAGGGCGAACGCCUGGAGUGGGUGGAUGGCAGCAGCUUCACCCAGACGAUCCUGGUGCGGGGCCAAGGAGCGUGUCUGUAUUUGAAUGACAAUGCUUUAGUGAGUACAAGCUGCUCACAGCAACGGCCAUAUAUGUGCAGCAAGCACUAUGCUCAGAGGUGACAGAGAGAGGACCUUCUCCGUGCUGAGCACUCACAGCUUCACCUCGUCCGGCAGCGCAGGCAGGGACUGGCCAGGUGGGGAGGCAAGCACAGAGCCCCGACGUGAGCAGGGGUGUGCGAGGGCCGCUGAGGGAGGUUUCAGUCCAGGCAGCCCUUUUGGGGCUGGCACCUUUGGCCUGGGAGCAGGGGCUCGACGUUUACAGUUUGGAGGCUGGACACUGGUUGGCAGUGAGAGGGCGUAGGGAUGUUCUUGCCUCAGCUGCUGGUUCGGGGUGCUCCUGGUCUCGGUAACAACUCGCUGCCAGGUCUCAGGGAGCUGAACCUGCAGGAAGAGGAGACAUCGUGGAAGCUGACGUGUGCCUGGCUGGGCUGGGACCUCAAGCACGGAACAAGUGGUUUUUCUCCUUGUGUGACCACCCCAGAACUCUUUCUUCUCGUGCGAUUCAGUCACACCCGCUUUUGUGCGGUAGGGACAGAGCUCGAGCAGCUGCUGCCAGAGGAGAUGGGCGCAGAGCUCUGCGGAGUUCCCUGGCACAGAGCUGGGCGGCUCUGGUGUGUCAGCUGUGCUGUUACUCCUAUUUUAGUACUCUGCUGUGCAUUAAACCAUUGUAAAUUCC